GCCCGGGUGGCGGAAUCGGUAGACGCAGCAGACUCAAAAUCUGCCAUGGCAACCCCAUAUGAGAGUUCGAGUCUCUCCCCGGGCACCA
RNAcentral lists this transfer RNA (88 nucleotides) under Solimonas sp. Its description in RNAcentral is "tRNA-Leu". It matches the Rfam family "tRNA". From Rfam's summary of the family: Transfer RNA (tRNA) molecules are approximately 80 nucleotides in length. Their secondary structure includes four short double-helical elements and three loops (D, anti-codon, and T loops). RNAcentral also lists the same sequence under 4 other names. Lineage: Bacteria; Pseudomonadati; Pseudomonadota; Gammaproteobacteria; Nevskiales; Nevskiaceae. The record is from RNAcentral.